This 253-nucleotide ribosomal RNA is filed under the name uncultured bacterium. RNAcentral describes it as "partial 16S ribosomal RNA". It matches the Rfam family "Bacterial small subunit ribosomal RNA", at positions 524 to 776 of the family's 1533-position model. The record is from RNAcentral.
UACGUAUGGUGCAAGCGUUAUCCGGAUUUACUGGGUGUAAAGGGAGCGCAGGCGGCACGGCAAGCCUGAUGUGAAAGCCCACGGCCCAACCGCGGGACUGCAUUGGGAACUACCGGGCUGGAGUGCCGGGGAGGUAGGCGGAAUUCCUAGUGUAGCGGUGAAAUGCGUAGAUAUUAGGAGGAACACCAGUGGCGAAGGCGGCCUACUGGACGGUGACUGACGCUGAGGCUCGAAAGCGUGGGGAGCAAACAGG